GUAAGUAUAGUUUUGACCAAAAUAUUAGAUUGUGAUUCUAAAGACAGGGGUUAAAAACCCCUUACUCACC
RNAcentral lists this transfer RNA (70 nucleotides) under Puntioplites waandersi. RNAcentral describes it as "tRNA-His". It matches the Rfam family "tRNA". Rfam says of the family: Transfer RNA (tRNA) molecules are approximately 80 nucleotides in length. Their secondary structure includes four short double-helical elements and three loops (D, anti-codon, and T loops). The record is from RNAcentral. Lineage: Eukaryota; Metazoa; Chordata; Actinopteri; Cypriniformes; Cyprinidae.